ACCAUCAGCAUCAGCGACGUGGUGCUGGCCGACGAGGGCGAGUACACCUGCUCCAUCUUCACCAUGCCCGUCAGGACAGCCAAGGCCCUGGUCACCGUGCUGGGUACGACAUGGGCACAGCCCUGAGUGUGCCACCUGGCUGGGAGAUUGCCCUCUGUGCCUAAAAUCCAGGCUGUGCCACCCUUGAUGAAAGAUUGCCCACUGUGUCUAAAAUCCAGGCUGUGCCACCCUGGCUGAAAGGUUUCUCAUUGUGCUUAAAAUCCAGGCUGUGCCACCCUUGAUGAAAGAUUGCCCAGUGCCAGGUGCAGGAUUUGGGGUUCCAGGGCAGAAUUUGGGUUUCCAGGUGCAGGAUUUGGGAUCCCAGGGCAGGAUUUGGGGUUCCAGGUGCAGGAUUUGGGAUGCCAGGUGCAGGAUAUGGAGUGCCAGGGGCAGGAUUUGGGAUGCCAGGGGAAGUUUUUGGAGUACCAGGUGCUGGAUUAGAGGUUCCAGGGGCAGGAUUUGGGAUGCCAGGUGCAGGAUUUGGAGUUCCAGGGGCAGGAUUUGGAUUUCCAAGUGCAGAUUUUGGGGUUCCAGGGUAGGAUUUGGAGUACCAGGGGCAGGAUUUCGGAUCCCAGGGCAGAAUUUGGAGUGCCAGGGGAAGGAUUUGGGACGCCAGAGCAGGAUUUGGGAUGCCAGGUGCAGGAUAUGGAGUGCCAGGGGCAGGAUUUGGGAUGCCAGGGCAGGAUUUGGGGUUCCAGGUGCAGGAUUUGGGGUGCCAGGGGAAGUUUUUGGAGUACCAGGUGCAGGAUUAGAGGUUCCAGGGGCAGGAUUUGGGGUCCCAGGGCAGGAUUUCGGAUCCCAGGGCAGGAUUUGGGGUUCCAGGUGCAAGAUUUGGUUUGCCAGGUGCAGGAUAUGGAGUGCCAGGGGCAGGAUUUGAGCUUCCAGGGAAAGGAUUUGGGAUGCCAGGGGAAGAUUUUGGGAUCCCAGGUGCAGGAUUUGGAAUACCAGGGCAGGAUUUGGAUUACCAAGUGCAGAUUUUGGAGUUCCAGGGUAGGAUUUGUGCUACCAGCUGCAGGAUUUAGGGUACCAGUGCAGGAUUUAGGGAGGAAAGAACUCCACAACCGCCAUCAGC
This 1111-nucleotide long non-coding RNA is filed under the name Zonotrichia albicollis (white-throated sparrow). Its description in RNAcentral is "lncRNA (ENSZALG00000002743.1)". Lineage: Eukaryota; Metazoa; Chordata; Aves; Passeriformes; Passerellidae. The record is from RNAcentral.